ACCCUGGUAGUCCACACAGUAAACGAUGAAUACUCGCUGUUUGCGAUAUACAGUAAGCGGCCAAGCGAAAGCAUUAAGUAUUCCACCUGGGGAGUACGCCGGCAACGGUGAAACUCAAAGGAAUUGACGGGGGCCCGCACAAGCGGAGGAACAUGUGGUUUAAUUCGAUGAUACGCGAGGAACCUUACCCGGGCUUAAAUUGCAAAUGAAUUAUGGGGAAACCCAUACGCCGCAAGGCAUUUGUGAAGGUGCUGCAUGGUUGUCGUCAGCUCGUGCCGUGAGGUGUCGGCUUAAGUGCCAUAACGAGCGCAACCCUUAUCUUCAGUUACUAACAGGUCAUGCUGAGGACUCUGGAGAGACUGCCGUCGUAAGAUGUGAGGAAGGUGGGGAUGACGUCAAAUCAGCACGGCCCUUACGUCCGGGGCUACACACGUGUUACAAUGGGGGGUACAGAAGGCCGCUACCUGGUGACAGGAUGCCAAUCCCAAAAACCUCUCUCAGUUCGGAUCGAAGUCUGCAACCCGACUUCGUGAAGCUGGAUUCGCUAGUAAUCGCGCAUCAGCCAUGGCGCGGUGAAUACGUUCCCGGGCCUUGUACACACCGCCCGUCAAGCCAUGAAAGCCGGGGGUACCUGAAGUACGUAACCGCAAGGAGCGUCCUAGGGUAAAACUGGUAAUUGGGGCUAAGUCGUAACAAGGUAGCCGUACCGGAAGGUGCGGCUG
RNAcentral lists this ribosomal RNA (722 nucleotides) under gut metagenome. RNAcentral's name for it is "bacterial SSU rRNA". It matches the Rfam family "Bacterial small subunit ribosomal RNA", at positions 784 to 1520 of the family's 1533-position model. The record is from RNAcentral.